CACAUGACUCUCGGCAACGGAUAUCUCGGCUCUCGCAUCGAUGAAGAACGUAGCAAAAUGCGAUACCUGGUGUGAAUUGCAGAAUCCCGUGAACCAUCGAGUUUUUGAACGCAAGUUGCGCCCGAGGCCUUCUGGUUGAGGGCACGUCUGCCUAGGCGUCACGC
This 164-nucleotide ribosomal RNA is filed under the name Muhlenbergia curtifolia. RNAcentral's name for it is "5.8S ribosomal RNA". It matches the Rfam family "5.8S ribosomal RNA". From Rfam's summary of the family: 5.8S ribosomal RNA (5.8S rRNA) is a component of the large subunit of the eukaryotic ribosome. It is transcribed by RNA polymerase I as part of the 45S precursor that also contains 18S and 28S rRNA. The record is from RNAcentral. Lineage: Eukaryota; Viridiplantae; Streptophyta; Magnoliopsida; Poales; Poaceae.